GACUCUCGGCAACGGAUAUCUCGGCUCACGCAUCGAUGAAGAACGUAGCAAAAUGCGAUACUUGGUGUGAAUUGCAGAAUCCCGUGAACCAUCGAGUUUUUGAACGCAAGUUGCGCCCGAAGCCUUUUGGUCAAGGGCACGUCUGCCUGGGCGUCACAC
RNAcentral lists this ribosomal RNA (159 nucleotides) under Sinosenecio sichuanicus. RNAcentral describes it as "5.8S ribosomal RNA". It matches the Rfam family "5.8S ribosomal RNA". From Rfam's summary of the family: 5.8S ribosomal RNA (5.8S rRNA) is a component of the large subunit of the eukaryotic ribosome. Lineage: Eukaryota; Viridiplantae; Streptophyta; Magnoliopsida; Asterales; Asteraceae. The record is from RNAcentral.